UAUCGGGCAAUGGAGGCAACUCUGACCCAGCAACGCCGCGUGAGUGAUGAAGGUCUUCGGAUUGUAAAACUCUUUAAGUGGGGACGAAGAAAGUGACUGUACCCACAGAAUAAGCCUCGGCUAACUACGUGCCAGCAGCCGCGGUAAUACGUAGGAGGCAAGCGUUAUCCGGAAUGACUGGGCGUAAAGGGUGCGUAGGUGGUUCGACAAGUUGGUAGCGUAAUUCCGGGGCUCAACCUCGGCGCUACUACCAAAACUGUUGGGCUUGAGUACAGGAGGGGCAGAUGGAAUGCCUAGUGUAGCGGUGGAAUGCGUAGAUAUUAGGAGGAACACCAGUGGCGAAGGCGAUCUGCUGGACUGUAACUGACACUGAGGCACGAAAGCGUGGGGAGCAAACAGG
This 400-nucleotide ribosomal RNA is filed under the name uncultured bacterium. Its description in RNAcentral is "bacterial SSU rRNA". It matches the Rfam family "Bacterial small subunit ribosomal RNA", at positions 362 to 776 of the family's 1533-position model. The record is from RNAcentral.